GACGAACGCUGGCGGCGUGCUUAACACAUGCAAGUCGAACGGAAAGGCCCUGCUUUUGUGGGGUGCUCGAGUGGCGAACGGGUGAGUAACACGUGAGUAACCUGCCCUUGACUUUGGGAUAACUUCAGGAAACUGGGGCUAAUACCGGAUAGGAGCUCCUGCUGCAUGGUGGGGGUUGGAAAUUUUCGGCGGUCGGGGAUGGACUCGCGGCUUAUCAGCUUGUUGGUUGGGUAGUGGCUUACCAAGGCUUUGACGGGUAGCCGGCCUGAGAGGGUGACCGGCCACAUUGGGACUGCGAUACGGCCCAGACUCCUACGGGAGACAGCAGUGGGGAAUAUUGUACAGUCGGCGGAAGCCUGAUGAAGCAACGCCGCGUGCGGGAUGACGGCCUUCGGGUUGUAAACAGCUUCCGCCCGUGACGACGCGUGAGUGACGGUAAUGGGUAAAGAAGCACCGGCUAACUACGUG
RNAcentral lists this ribosomal RNA (468 nucleotides) under uncultured bacterium. Its description in RNAcentral is "partial 16S ribosomal RNA". It matches the Rfam family "Bacterial small subunit ribosomal RNA", at positions 28 to 507 of the family's 1533-position model. The record is from RNAcentral.